UACCGCAUAAAAACUUUAAACACAAGUUUUAAGUUUGAAAGGUGCAAUUGCAUCUCUCAAAGAUGAUCCCGCGUUGUAUUAGCUAGUUGGUGAGGUAAAGGGUCACCAAGGCGAUGAUACAUAGCCGAUCUGAGAGGGUGAUCGGCCACGUUGGGACUGAGACACGGCCCAAACUCCUACGGGAGGCAGCAGUAGGGAAUCUUCGGCAAUGGACGAAAGUCUGACCGAGCAACGCCGCGUGAGUGAAGAAGGUUUUCGGAUCGUAAAACUCUGUUGGUAGAGAAGAACGUUGGUGAGAGUGGAAAGCUCAUCAAGUGACGGUAACUACCCAGAAAGGGACGGCUAACUACGUGCCAGCAGCCGCGGUAAUACGUAGGUCCCGAGCGUUGUCCGGAUUUAUUGGGCGUAAAGCGAGCGCAGGUGGUUUAUUAAGUCUGGUGUAAAAGGCAGUGGCUCAACCAUUGUAUGCAUUGGAAACUGGUAGACUUGAGUGCAGGAGAGGAGAGUGGAAUUCCAUGUGUAGCGGUGAAAUGCGUAGAUAUAUGGAGGAACACCGGUGGCGAAAGCGGCUCUCUGGCCUGUAACUGACACUGAGGCUCGAAAGCGUGGGGAGCAAACAGGAUUAGAUACCCUGGUAGUCCACGCCGUAAACGAUGAGUGCUAGAUGUAGGGAGCUAUAAGUUCUCUGUAUCGCAGCUAACGCAAUAAGCACUCCGCCUGGGGAGUACGACCGCAAGGUUGAAACUCAAAGGAAUUGACGGGGGCCCGCACAAGCGGUGGAGCAUGUGGUUUAAUUCGAAGCAACGCGAAGAACCUUACCAGGUCUUGACAUACUCGUGCUAUUCCUAGAGAUAGGAAGUUCCUUCGGGACACGGGAUACAGGUGGUGCAUGGUUGUCGUCAGCUCCUGUCCUGAGAUGUUGGGUUAAGUCCCGCAACGAGGGCAACCCCUAUUGGUAGUUGCCAUCAUUAAGUUGGGGCACUCUAACCGAGACUGCCCGGUGAUAAAACCGGAAGGAAGGUGGGGGAUGAACUCCAAAUCAUCAUGGCCCCUUAUGGACCUGGGGCUACCAA
RNAcentral lists this ribosomal RNA (1073 nucleotides) under Lactococcus lactis. RNAcentral describes it as "bacterial SSU rRNA". It matches the Rfam family "Bacterial small subunit ribosomal RNA", at positions 167 to 1220 of the family's 1533-position model. The record is from RNAcentral. Lineage: Bacteria; Bacillati; Bacillota; Bacilli; Lactobacillales; Streptococcaceae.